Molecule: ribosomal RNA, 425 nt
Filed under: uncultured bacterium
Lineage: Bacteria
Description: partial 16S ribosomal RNA
Rfam family: Bacterial small subunit ribosomal RNA
Source: RNAcentral
GUGGGGAAUAUUGGGCAAUGGGCGAAAGCCUGACCCAGCAACGCCGCGUGAAGGAAGAAGGUUUUCGGAUCGUAAACUUCUAUCCUUGGUGAAGAUAAUGACGGUAGCCAAGAAGGAAGCCCCGGCUAACUACGUGCCAGCAGCCGCGGUAAUACGUAGGGGGCAAGCGUUGUCCGGAAUGAUUGGGCGUAAAGGGCGCGUAGGCGGCCCGGUAAGUCUGAAGUGAAAGUCCUGCUUUUAAGGUGGGAAUUGCUUUGGAUACUGUCGGGCUUGAGGGCAGGAGAGGUAAGCGGAAUUCCCGGUGUAGCGGUGAAAUGCGUAGAGAUCGGGAGGAACACCAGUGGCGAAGGCGGCUUACUGGACUGUAACUGACGCUGAGGCGCGAAAGUGUGGGGAGCAAACAGGAUUAGAAACCCUGGUAGUCC